This 493-nucleotide ribosomal RNA is filed under the name uncultured Lachnospiraceae bacterium. Its description in RNAcentral is "partial 16S ribosomal RNA". The record is from RNAcentral. Lineage: Bacteria; Bacillati; Bacillota; Clostridia; Lachnospirales; Lachnospiraceae.
CACGUAGUUAGCCGGGGCUUCUUAGUCAGGUACCGUCAUUUUUUUCCCUGCUGAUAGAGCUUUACAUACCGAAAUACUUCUUCACUCACGCGGCGUCGCUGCAUCAGGGUUUCCCCCAUUGUGCAAUAUUCCCCACUGCUGCCUCCCGCAGGAGUCUGGGCCGUGUCUCAGUCCCAAUGUGGCCGUUCACCCUCUCAGGCCGGCUACUGAUCGUCGCUUUGGUAGGCCGUUACCCUGCCAACUGGCUAAUCAGACGCGGGUCCAUCUCACACCGAUAAAAUCUUUUCCGUCAGUGCCAUGCGGCACCAGCGGGUUAUGCGGUAUUAGCGGUCGUUUCCAACUGUUACUCCCCCUGUGUGAGCAGGUUACCCACGCGUUACUCACCCGUCCGCCACUCAGUCACAAGAGACUUCAUCCGAAGAAUCAUUCUCAGGUGCUUCGUUCGACUUGCAUGUGUUAGCACGCGCCAGCGUCAUCUGACGCAGGACUCAAA